GUUGAUUGGUUCAGUCUGGGAUGUGGGAGGAAGCUUUAUGAUGAAAUCACUUUCUGGGAGAAUCUCAGGAAAGCCUAAAGAAAAUCAAAUCAAAAUAAAAUGUGGGGUCCUUUUCUUUUUCCUUCCUUUUUUUUUCUUCCAGACACAGACUUUUGUUGCAGAUGCAAGCAAGAUAGUCCAGGAAAACACCUCCAGGUCCUGGUCUCAGCUCAGUCCACUGUGGCUGGAUUCUGCCGGUGGUAAAGAAAUCACCUCCCGACUCAUUAGACAGCUGGAAACUACGCCCUAUAGUGUCCAGGCUUGUGAUGGCUUCGGAGUGUGUGAAAGCUCCUGUUACCGGCGCUGACAGGAGAGCUUGUUCUCCCCCGGGAAUCCGGAAGGCAACGAGGCUCUUCAUCCAUCACGCUGACGCACAAGGAGUGAGGAUCCCUCCAGCAGCCUUGGCCCAGUUCCUCGCACGCAAGCUGCAGAGCGAUGAGAUGUUGCUGUUUGCACCGGCACCUCUCCAAGGGCUUCACAGCUGCUCAGGAAAUCAGCCCCUGACUUAUCUCCCCUCUAUUUACCCACCUGUCAGAGCACGAGGAGCUGCAGGCCUUUCCUCCCGAGACCGUUAGCUGAGCAAGGUUGCUUCCUGCCCUUCCCUAUACCCGCAGCACCUUUCCAUAGGGGCAGACCCAGACACAGGCAUGGGUGAAUUAGGCAGCCACCCAGGGCCUGGACACAAAAAGGGUCUGAAAAUGGUAACUUUUUUUUCCCCUGUUGUCCAAUUAUUAUUAUCAUCAUCUCUAGCAAAGGGGGGCCGGAUACUAAAAGUUCACCCGGGGCCACCAGGAGUCUAGGUACAAUGCUGCAUAAGGGCUGUAACCAGAGGGAGGUUCAGACCACAUCACGGGCAGUGAAUUGGGGAUGCUCUAUUUCUAGCCCUCCAUCCUCCUGGCCCUGCUCCCAGGUCUUCAUUGGUCAGAAGGGCUUUUAAGAGAGCUUUUACUGCCUUGAGGCCAAGAGGGUCCUCCUCCCCUUCCCCCUUAAACCCAUUCUCCAAUUUUGCACCCAACCCGAACGGCAGGUGCAAAGCACCGGUAUCAAACCACCCGCGUGCUGACGGGAAUCAGAUCACCAGGCAUCUAGAAGCGACCGGCUGCAGUGGCCACACCUCAAUGUGCACUUGCCAAACCAACAUCGGGGUGGGAUUUGAUUCGAUUUUGCAAGUCAGGCCUUGAAAAUGCGACGCCGGCAUUGCUAUUCUUUUGUAAUUGCAUGAAAGCGAGGCGCCGCGGUGAUUUUUUUUUAAUGACGUUUCACAGGCGAUCGCUCGGUUUGAAAUUCACGGUGCCUUACCUUUGAUCCAGCCUCCGACAAACAUGUGGAAUACAGCGAUUUUUAUCCCCUGCGGGUUGUAUUUCUGUUCUUUCUCCCUCUCUCUCCCCUCCCCGCCCUCCCUCGCUGCUGCUUCUUGGAAUAAACUUGAUGUCUUAUCUCCCUGAAAAAUCUUCCAGCCAACUGGGGACACAGCCAACCAGAACCCAUUAGCGCCAUGCUACACAUUCUCAGCACCAUGAAAAUCUGCUGCCAUUUUAAAUAUAGCCUCUAUUUAUUUCAGUCAGCAGCAUGUCCUUUUGCUGUCAAGGAGACAAAUUAUGCCAGCCCUGUUGCAGAGCUCACAAUAUGAGGGAGAAAAGGCUUUGGGAACAAUUAUGCCAAACUGUGGAACACAUCUACCUACUGAGCUCCAGACUAAUACUAACAGAUAGCCUGGAGCAAGUCAAAAUUUCAGCCAAAUUCUAACCUUUCCUAAGGGAGUCCUUUUAUUAAUUCAUUGCAGAACAAAGCAUCUGGGCCAGCCCCGAAGCUGCGUUUCUAAACAUGCCUCUUUCUAAAAGGCUUAGCAUGACGGGAUUGUUUUCAUGUCUGAUUAUCAGUGUGGAGGGAUGUGGUGGGGUUUUGUUGGGGUUUUUUUUUUUUUGGCUCAGGAUAGACCCAAUACAGAAUUGCAAUUUAGCCCCUUUGUUAGCAACUUCCACGUGGCUGGAUUAAUUUAAUUCCUUCUGAUGUUCAACACGGCAAAGACAGUGCUAGAGGAAAGGGUAGGAGGGAGCUUUGCAUUAAAAAGCCUGCCUGGACUUUUGCAUUUAGGGAUGCCAAAUACUUAUUAAACAUCUUUAUUAAUCAA
This is a long non-coding RNA of Alligator mississippiensis (American alligator), 2170 nucleotides long. RefSeq lists it as uncharacterized. The record is from RefSeq and is a predicted model, not a curated record. The transcript has 2 exons. NCBI's taxonomy places the organism in Eukaryota, Metazoa, Chordata, Crocodylia, Alligatoridae.